CUACGGGUUGCUGCAGUGAGGAAUAUUGCACAAUGGGGGGAACCCUGAUGCAGCAACGCCGCGUGGAGGAUGACGCAUUUCGGUGUGUAAACUCCUCUUAUAUGUCAAGAAAAUGACGGUAGCAUAUGAAUAAGCACCGGCUAACUCCGUGCCAGCAGCCGCGGUAAUACGGAGGGUGCAAGCGUUACUCGGAAUCACUGGGCGUAAAAGGACGCGUAGGCGGGUUGGAAAGUCAGGUGUGAAAUCCUACAGCUUAACUGUAGAACUGCACUUGAAACUUCUAAUCUAGAGUAUGGGAGGGGGAGAUGGAAUUAGUGGUGUAGGGGUAAAAUCCGUAGAUAUCACUAGGAAUACCUAAAGCGAAGGCGAUCUCCUGGAACAUUACUGACGCUAAGGCGUGAAAGCGUGGGGAGCAAACAGGAUUAGAUACCCCCGUAGUC
RNAcentral lists this ribosomal RNA (440 nucleotides) under uncultured bacterium. Its description in RNAcentral is "partial 16S ribosomal RNA". It matches the Rfam family "Bacterial small subunit ribosomal RNA", at positions 339 to 795 of the family's 1533-position model. The record is from RNAcentral.